UACGUAGGGCGCAAGCGUUAUCCGGAAUUAUUGGGCGUAAAGAGCUCGUAGGCGGUUUGUCGCGUCUGCCGUGAAACCCCGGGGCUCAACCCCGGAACUGCAUCCGAUACUGCGUGGCUAGAGGUAGGUAGGGGAGAUCGGAAUUCCUGGUGUAGCGGUGAAAUGCGCAGAUAUCAGGAGGAACACCGGUGGCGAAGGCGGAUCUCUGGGCCUUACCUGACGCUCAGGCACGAAAGCUAGGGGAGCGAACAGG
Molecule: ribosomal RNA, 253 nt
Filed under: uncultured bacterium
Lineage: Bacteria
Description: partial 16S ribosomal RNA
Rfam family: Bacterial small subunit ribosomal RNA
Source: RNAcentral